This is a long non-coding RNA of Gossypium arboreum, 324 nucleotides long. RefSeq lists it as uncharacterized. Lineage: Eukaryota; Viridiplantae; Streptophyta; Magnoliopsida; Malvales; Malvaceae. The record is from RefSeq and is a predicted model, not a curated record. The transcript is spliced from 3 exons.
UUGUAAAGUAAAGUAACAAAAACGUGAAAAAGCAACCCAGCAUUAAUGAGCUGUUAUUUCCUAGAAAUCUUUCCUAAAUAUCUUCAUUUUCAUUUACAGUUCUUGGAGAAGGACAAAAGACUGAUAUUCAUUAAGUUCUCUUCUUCAAAUCAUAAACUUGUUGGAAAUCUCAUCCCUAUCCCCGAUCAAUUUCUGCCUCUAUGACUGUCUCCUCAACUGGUUCGUGAUUAAGAUCCCUUCCUAAAAUGGCCACCUGUAAACAUGCAACGGCCUCGGCUGCAAACCCCGUCCACUUUUGCAUCGAAGUUUAUUUUGCAGAAACCU